This 497-nucleotide ribosomal RNA is filed under the name uncultured bacterium. RNAcentral's name for it is "partial 16S ribosomal RNA". It matches the Rfam family "Bacterial small subunit ribosomal RNA", at positions 28 to 507 of the family's 1533-position model. The record is from RNAcentral.
GACGAACGCUGGCGGCGUGCCUAAUACAUGCAAGUUGAGCGCUGAAGGUUGGUACUUGUACCAACUGGAUGAGCAGCGAACGGGUGAGUAACGCGUGGGGAAUCUGCCUUUGAGCGGGGGACAACAUUUGGAAACGAAUGCUAAUACCGCAUAAAAACUUUAAACACAAGUUUUAAGUUUGAAAGAUGCAAUUGCAUCACUCAAAGAUGAUCCCGCGUUGUAUUAGCUAGUUGGUGAGGUAAAGGCUCACCAAGGCGAUGAUACAUAGCCGACCUGAGAGGGUGAUCGGCCACAUUGGGACUGAGACACGGCCCAAACUCCUACGGGAGGCAGCAGUAGGGAAUCUUCGGCAAUGGACGAAAGUCUGACCGAGCAACGCCGCGUGAGUGAAGAAGGUUUUCGGAUCGUAAAACUCGGUUGGUAGAGAAGAACGUUGGUGAGAGUGGAAAGAUCAUCAAGUGACGGUAACUACCCAGAAAGGGACGGCUAACUACGUG